RNAcentral lists this ribosomal RNA (451 nucleotides) under uncultured soil bacterium. Its description in RNAcentral is "bacterial SSU rRNA". It matches the Rfam family "Bacterial small subunit ribosomal RNA", at positions 26 to 518 of the family's 1533-position model. The record is from RNAcentral.
AGAUUGAACGCUAGCGGGAUGCUUUACACAUGCAAGUCGAACGAGACCUUCGGGUCUAGUGGCGCACGGGUGCGUAACACGUGGGAAUCUGCCCUUGGGUUCGGAAUAACAGUUGGAAACGACUGCUAAUACCGGAUGAUGACGUAAGUCCAAAGAUUUAUCGCCCAGGGAUGAGCCCGCGUAGGAUUAGCUAGUUGGUGAGGUAAAGGCUCACCAAGGCGACGAUCCUUAGCUGGUCUGAGAGGAUGAUCAGCCACACUGGGACUGAGACACGGCCCAGACUCCUACGGGAGGCAGCAGUGGGAAUAUGGACAAUGGGCGAAAGCCUGAUCCAGCAAUGCCGCGUGAGUGAGUGAAGGCCGUUAGGGUUGUAAAGCUACUUUUUACCCGGGAAGAUAAUGACGUGUAACCGGGAGAAGUAAGCUACCGCUAACUCCGCGCCAGCAGCCGC